CGAAAGGGAAACAGCCCAGACCACCAGCUAAGGUCCCAAAAUAUAUGUUAAGUGGAAAAGGAUGUGGCGUUGCCCAGACAACUAGGAUGUUGGCUUAGAAGCAGCCAUCAUUUAAAGAGUGCGUAAUAGCUCACUAGUCGAGUGACACUGCGCCGAAAAUGUACCGGGGCUAAACAUAUUACCGAAGCUGUGGAUUGUCCUUUGGACAAUGGUAGGAGAGCGUUCUAAGGGCGUUGAAGCAUGAUCGUAAGGACAUGUGGAGCGCUUAGAAGUGAGAAUGCCGGUGUGAGUAGCGAAAGACGGGUGAGAAUCCCGUCCACCGAUUGACUAAGGUUUCCAGAGGAAGGCUCGUCCGCUCUGGGUUAGUCGGGUCCUAAGCUGAGGCCGACAGGCGUAGGCGAUGGAUAACAGGUUGAUAUUCCUGUACCACCUAUAAUCGUUUUAAUCGAUGGGGGGACGCAGUAGGAUAGGCGAAGCGUGCGAUUGGAUUGCACGUCUAAGCAGUAAGGCUGAGUAUUAGGCAAAUCCGGUACUCGUUAAGGCUGAGCUGUGAUGGGGAGAAGACAUUGUGUCUUCGAGUCGUUGAUUUCACACUGCCGAGAAAAGCCUCUAGAUAGAAAAUAGGUGCCCGUACCGCAAACCGACACAGGUAGUCAAGAUGAGAAUUCUAAGGUGAGCGAGCGAACUCUCGUUAAGGAACUCGGCAAAAUGACCCCGUAACUUCGGGAGAAGGGGUGCUCUUUAGGGUUAACGCCCAGAAGAGCCGCAGUGAAUAGGCCCAAGCGACUGUUUAUCAAAAACACAGGUCUCUGCUAAACCGUAAGGUGAUGUAUAGGGGCUGACGCCUGCCCGGUGCUGGAAGGUUAAGAGGAGUGGUUAGCUUCUGCGAAGCUACGAAUCGAAGCCCCAGUAAACGGCGGCCGUAACUAUAACGGUCCUAAGGUAGCGAAAUUCCUUGUCGGGUAAGUUCCGACCCGCACGAAAGGCGUAACGAUUUGGGCACUGUCUCAACGAGAGACUCGGUGAAAUCAUAGUACCUGUGAAGAUGCAGGUUACCCGCGACAGGACGGAAAGACCCCGUGGAGCUUUACUGUAGCCUGAUAUUGAAAUUCGGCACAGCUUGUACAGGAUAGGUAGGAGCCUUUGAAACGUGAGCGCUAGCUUACGUGGAGGCGCUGGUGGGAUACUACCCUAGCUGUGUUGGCUUUCUAACCCGCACCACUUAUCGUGGUGGGAGACAGUGUCAGGCGGGCAGUUUGACUGGGGCGGUCGCCUCCUAAAAGGUAACGGAGGCGCUCAAAGGUUCCCUCAGAAUGGUUGGAAAUCAUUCAUAGAGUGUAAAGGCAUAAGGGAGCUUGACUGCGAGACCUACAAGUCGAGCAGGGUCGAAAGACGGACUUAGUGAUCCGGUGGUUCCGCAUGGAAGGGCCAUCGCUCAACGGAUAAAAGCUACCCCGGGGAUAACAGGCUUAUCUCCCCCAAGAGUUCACAUCGACGGGGAGGUUUGGCACCUCGAUGUCGGCUCAUCGCAUCCUGGGGCUGUAGUCGGUCCCAAGGGUUGGGCUGUUCGCCCAUUAAAGCGGUACGCGAGCUGGGUUCAGAACGUCGUGAGACAGUUCGGUCCCUAUCCGUCGUGGGCGUAGGAAAUUUGAGAGGAGCUGUCCUUAGUACGAGAGGACCGGGAUGGACAUACCUCUGGUGUACCAGUUGUCGUGCCAACGGCAUAGCUGGGUAGCUAUGUGUGGACGGGAUAAGUGCUGAAAGCAUCUAAGCAUGAAGCCCCCCUCAAGAUGAGAUUUCCCAACUUCGGUUAUAAGAUCCCUCAAAGAUGAUGAGGUUAAUAGGUUCGAGGUGGAAG
Molecule: ribosomal RNA, 1858 nt
Filed under: Staphylococcus aureus
Lineage: Bacteria; Bacillati; Bacillota; Bacilli; Caryophanales; Staphylococcaceae
Description: partial 23S ribosomal RNA
Rfam family: Bacterial large subunit ribosomal RNA
Source: RNAcentral